GUGCUCACUUUGGCAGCACAUAUACUAAAGCUGGAACAAUACAGAGUGGAUUAGCAUGGCCCCUGCACAAGGAUGACAUACAAAUACGUGAAGUGUUCCAUACUUUA
Molecule: small nuclear RNA, 107 nt
Organism: Cervus hanglu yarkandensis (Yarkand deer)
Lineage: Eukaryota; Metazoa; Chordata; Mammalia; Artiodactyla; Cervidae
Source: Ensembl